UUUUCAUUUUUUUAUUUUUCAGAAGCUGUUUAUUUUCCAUCUCCCUGAUUUCCGUUUUCUGUUCAAGAGUCUGUGGAAGAGCAACUCAAGAGCAGUCAGUGGUUCUUCCUACCCAUUCAGCAGCCUGCGCAGUGGGAGCUGCGGCCCAGUCUUCGGUGGCAGGCUGAGGGCUCCAUCCUCAGUAGGAAAUGGCUGGACGGGCACAGAGGGGACCAGCAUGCCUUCAGACAGCGUGGGGCCUCGGGGGAUGGUGGUGUCCACAUAGCAGAGGAGAGUGUGUCACACAGAGCAGUGGCGGGCAGGUUAACACAAGAGGCCUCCGUGAGAGGCUGGCGGUCAGCCCUGGGGUCAGUUGCCACCAGAAGUCACGGUUCCUGGAAGGCCGCCUGGAUCUGGUUAGUGAAGGUUCCAGCAGAGAAGCAGCUGGCAGUGGGAGAGGCUCCAGCGGCAGCAGCAAACUUGAGCACAGCUCACCGGUCAGCAUUCCUGGAGGAUGUGACGCUGGCAUCGGCUGGGUUUUCAGUGGCGACAAUGGCACGGUCUGCCUGUGGAAGCUUUUCCCAGGUUCUCUUCAGCUUUACGAUGUAGAUGCCAUCACUUUUCCUUUUGUAGAUGUGCUGUUCCAUUUGGAAGUCAAGGUGGCUGCCACCUGAGUGGGCUCCUCCUGUGCGGAACGGGAGGACAUCCUCCUCCUCCGUUUGUGGGACACCCAGGGCUCCGGACACUGUGAGUUUCCCUUCAAGUUAUGGUGGGAACCCAGACCAACGCUGUAUGGACCCCCCCUGGCUAGUGUGGAAAGCACUUUUAAUUUUUUGAAUGUAGUGCUAUGUGUACAUGUUUAAAAAAAAUUACAACAGUGCAAAAGGAUAUUUAGUGCAAAGGUAAGUCUCCGUCUCAUCCUGAGCCCUACUCCCCAGUUGUUCUCCUCUGAGGCAAAUACUGUGAUCCCUCUUGAGUCCAUCUCUUUGCAGGGCUGGGCUGUGCAAAUACCCACCUGGAUACUGUGACGGUUAAUUCUACGUGUGCACUUGACUGGAUCACCGGAUGCCCAGGCAUCUGGGUAAACAUGAUUUCUGGGUAUGCCGAUGGGGUGUUUCCACAAGAGAUCAGCAUUUGAAGUGGUGCACUGAGGAAAGCAGGUGGCGCUCCCCAGGUCGUGCGUUUACCCCAGGAGCUGCCGUCUGACAGUGGGGAUGACCUCCGAUUCCACGUAAACAGGGACGUGCUCUUCCAGUCCCCUCCUCCUGGCCUCUCAGGACGGCUUUCCAUGCGGUCCGUCCCGUCCCACGUCAAGUCUGUGAGCUUC
Long non-coding RNA from Equus quagga, 1306 nucleotides. RefSeq lists it as uncharacterized. The record is from RefSeq and is a predicted model, not a curated record. NCBI's taxonomy places the organism in Eukaryota, Metazoa, Chordata, Mammalia, Perissodactyla, Equidae. The transcript is spliced from 3 exons.